AUGGACGGGGAGUGGGCGCAAUACAACAGUGUUAUGCAAAAUGAGCUUGACGUCUUCAUGACGAACGAACACAACCACCUAUUCCAGUACAACCAUGGAGAUGAGAUGUGUGGCCUCGUUGGAGCCACUACCAACGUGGGCAACCCUGAUGAUGCACACGCUGUUGCUGCAGACCAAGGUAACAACAACGAUGGAGAGACACAUAAUGAGCAGAGAAUGGUGGCAAGGCGUGCCAAUUAUCACCGUCUCCGCGGAGAACAAAUCCAUCGACUUGAAGUGUACAAUACAUACUCAAUCAAUGUUUCUUACCUAUCAAAGAUGAUGUGUACUAAUCCAUUUUCGUUAACGUAA
This 351-nucleotide ribosomal RNA is filed under the name Triticum aestivum (bread wheat). RNAcentral describes it as "partial small subunit ribosomal RNA". Lineage: Eukaryota; Viridiplantae; Streptophyta; Magnoliopsida; Poales; Poaceae. The record is from RNAcentral.